CUGGCUGCACACAGAAACAAAGGUUUAUAAACCGAUGUAAACUAGCAAUAAAAAGUAAACUGGAAAAUAAAAAAAUCACAGCAGCCGACAAAUUCUGCAUAUAAAUACUCGAAUAAAACAGUAAAAAGGGAGAGUUUGCAAUUUAAAUCUAUUAGUAGAUAGAAACUGAAGUUUUAGAUUGAAUCGAGGAUAGAAAUUGAGAAAUUGGGUUAGAAAGUAAAGUGAAAUAAAAGAAUCAGAAAUAUUCGAAGAAUUCCGUGUCGGAUGAUGACGACGUAAAAAUUUUCACUUGGAGAUACGUGCAAGCUUUCCGGGCAGCAAGGCAGACUAAUGGACAGUGGUCAGUGACCUAUAGGGCCCAUAGUGUGGGUCACAGAUAUUUAUUAUACGUUCUAGACAUUGACUAGACAGCCGACACGAGCACUAGUAUAUACCUCAUUCGUCUCGUCUAGCAGGGAAGUGUUAAUGCAUUUGUUUUAUAUCUCGAAUUUUAAUAUCUCCUAUUAAAUGAAUUUUUACUUUCGAAUGUUUCAUCGAACAGAGAACAAUCUGUUACGAUAACGAUAAGUACUAAUUAACUACUAAUUAAACUUGCAGAAGAGAAGACUUUCAAGUCUAUCUAUGUAGAACUUGCAUCGACGAUCAGGUGAGAUUACGGGAUUGCAUAAUGGAAGUUCUAAGUCAUUAAACCCGGCAGGAAAAAAAGGAGGAGCGUCUUUUCUCUACGUCACUGGCAAGGAUUGCUUCACUGGACGCCCACUUGGACCUUUAAGCGCAGCCAAUCGCGCGUCAACGACCUCGUUGUUGCUCGACAAACAACCAGAAGUAGUUUUCCUAAACAAUCGACUGGUCAGGUUACGGGAAUGGUGACCACGUGGGGUUAGACGUGCAAAAGGAAACGUGAAAAAAAUAAAUUUCUUUUUUACGAGUUUCAACUUGUCCCACUUCUUUUGCAGAGGAACCCCUUUAGGGAAGCGGAAGAGAUAGAAGGAUGAGAGUAUUUGGACGAAAUCUCGCCACGAAAUCUUGAUGGGUUGUAUUCCAUUCUAGACAUGCUCCUUAAUCUAGCCACGUCCAAGUCACGCAUUCUACAGCGUCUCGUUGCGUACGUGUCACGUCUGUCUGCCGUCUGGGAAAGGGAAGGACUCGGGUGUCUGGAGGCCGUUGCAUCAUGAGAAUGAAUCCAGUGAUCCUUCCCGAGUACCGUAUUAAGAAAAUUGACUACGUUACGCCGGUUUUGUAACAGCCUUCGGACGAACACGAAGUAGCGUCGGCACGUGGAAAUCUAGACAAGAAGAUUUCUUCAAUUUCUUCAAGGAUCUUUCAUUUUUAUUAUUACGAAGAACUUAUUGUACAGAUGGACAGGUCUUCGAUCAACGAGGCGAAUAUUGUUUUACAAAAUAAUCUUUAAAAUAUUAUAAAAAGUUUCAUAACUUUUAGGAGAAAAAACUUGGAAGCUGUUCUGGACGAAAAAAAUUAACGCGAGAAGAUUGGUAGGUGGCGGAGGUCAGAAGGCUGAAGAAAAUGUUAGAUCGCGGAACGGUGAACGACGACCUGAUUAACGACGUCAAAAAAUGCACGUUGCAUCGUCUGGCGGUGAGGUGGGGAGCCACUGACGAAAACUUCCUCCUCGCUCUCCGUUGCGUAUCUCGCAUCAUCUUUGUCGGCAUAGGAAGAGAGACGCAUAGACAAGAAAAAUAUCAGCGAGGAAAAGGGAGGCGAAGCAGUUGAAGAAGCGGACGCUGGUCAGCCCGAGGCGUAGAAAUUCAGUGGCGCUUCGUGGUUCUUCGUUUCAUCACGGUAUUUUUACGGGCCAUCGAGAUAUUUUUACGUGGCGGGGGCAAUGAUUCGUCGAGAACGCCUUUGUCGUCAAGUAUUCACGAGCACAGGUCUGGGUUACGUCGUUGGAAAACCGUUUGCCUUUUUCUUUCAUUACAAUAAUUAAAGAGAAGAUUGCCGAUUUGGUUUCAAGGGAAAGAGUAAGAAGGGAAGAAUGCGUGUUACCUUUUCAUGCAGACACAACAUACCUCUGUGGAGAAUAGAUCUCCUGUUGUUAUCGCAAUAAAUCGUAUCUCAUGCAAUACGAGCAAUGAGAUAAUCGUGAUGAGAGAGAAUGUAUUUUUAGAUUAUGCAAGCCAAGCCAGAAGGAAGGCAGCCUGUCGGCCGGGGGAGCAAAACAAAAAGAGUUCGACAGAAUUUAUCUGUCCAUCUUGCUCGGUAAACCAAGUCCCUUACCCAAAAAGCAUCAGAUCAUAGUGCCAUCAGGGUGAAGCUUACCUGUCGAAGCUUGAGGUUAGGUUUCCUCUAAAAGACACAAAAAGCACAUUGUAUAGAUUUUUUUAUUAGACAUUUUUGCAAAGCGAGACACACGAUAAACAACAUUUAAUGUGAAAAAUGAAUGAGACAAAAAGGAACAUAAUGAAUGAAAAAAAUAUCGAGCCAUCUGUGAUUAUUGAAAUUUAUAAUCUUCCCCCAUGAAUCGAAUCUGUACUGAAUUAAUUAAAUAGAAAUAUAUUUUAAUUAUCAAGAG
Bombus pascuorum is the source of this 2530-nucleotide long non-coding RNA. RefSeq lists it as uncharacterized. The transcript is spliced from 2 exons. The record is from RefSeq and is a predicted model, not a curated record. NCBI's taxonomy places the organism in Eukaryota, Metazoa, Arthropoda, Insecta, Hymenoptera, Apidae.